UCUCCAGGAACAAAAAAAAAUGUCAAAUUUUUUUUUCUUAUCAUCUUUCACGACGAAGGGGUUUUUCCAGAUCUGAGAAAUCAGAAGUUCUUUCUUAUGAUUCUUCCAUAUUUAAAUCAGAAAUAAUAGAUUAAUUUAGAUUUUACAUUUAGUCAAAAGUUUCGAUCUCCAAAAUUCUAUAUCGUUUUCAUCUUCAGAAUGCCAGAACUCUGCAAAUUAUCGAAUGGUUCAAGUUGUAGAUAAUCAAAUUUGGAAACAAACGUAUGGGAGAUUUGUAGCUUACAAUAAAUGUUUCGAUUGAUUCCAUCUUAUCAGAUAUGGACAGCCAUAUAUGAUUUGAGAUAGGUUAGUUGAGAUUCUAAGCAAUAAGUUAUAAAAGUGUCUGAUACUGUUUAUAUGGAUUCAUCAAUUUGAAAAGGUUGAAGUUCAUAAAUGUAACAAAGUACUGCUACCAGCACUAAGCGUCUUCCAGGCAUUUUGAUUAUGGUUGAAGUUCAUAAAUUUAACAAAAUACUGCUACCAGCACUAAGCAUCUUCCAGGCAAUUUGAUUGAGG
Camelina sativa (false flax) is the source of this 555-nucleotide non-coding RNA. The record is from RefSeq and is a predicted model, not a curated record. Lineage: Eukaryota; Viridiplantae; Streptophyta; Magnoliopsida; Brassicales; Brassicaceae.